UAGGGCGAGCCUGACGCAGCACGCCGCGUGGAUGAUGAAGUCCUUCGGGAUGUAAAGUCCUUUUGCAGAGGAAGAACAUGCUGGUUUGCCGGUGUGAAGGGACUCUUCGAAUGAUCCCCGGGUAACUCUGGGCCCGCCACCGCGGUUAUUCCGGGGUUGGAAGGCUUGUCCGGAUUUACUGGGUGUAAAGGGGGCGCAAGGGGAAUUUUAAGGCCCGGGGUAAAACCAUGUGCUCUACACAUGGCCCUCUUUCCAAACUGGUUAUCCAGAG
RNAcentral lists this ribosomal RNA (271 nucleotides) under Prosthecochloris sp. JAGS164. RNAcentral describes it as "partial 16S ribosomal RNA". It matches the Rfam family "Bacterial small subunit ribosomal RNA", at positions 371 to 646 of the family's 1533-position model. Lineage: Bacteria; Pseudomonadati; Chlorobiota; Chlorobiia; Chlorobiales; Chlorobiaceae. The record is from RNAcentral.